CGGGGUGAUAAAAGUGAACGAGCAGGUGACGAAGGCACAAGGUCCAACAGUACGCCCCUCUUGAAAGUGCGCAUAAGUACUCUGGCUAUUGACGUGUUUGUGUCGGCUGAAUAAUAACAGGACGACAUCUAAAAACUCUUGAUUAAACUAGCUACGUGGCGGUCCACAUGCCAUAUCAACACAAGUCGCGUGCGUUACUGCAGUUUUCAAACAUUCCGCGCCGAAGAACAACCUUACUGAUCGGUCAAGGGCACGCACUGUAUGGAUGGCUGAAAGUGGCACAAGACCUGAUGAACCGGAAAGAUUCCCAAGACAGGGCAGUAUGUCCAGCAAACAAGACUUGAUUCAGUGGGAAAAUACCUCCGUUGAGACAUGCACUAUACUGAGCUGGCUCGGUUACGGACAGGAGAUAAUACAGGCUCGGAGAGACGCAUAUCGGGAGUUCGGCAAGCUGUUAACUGCAAGGACAUGUGGAACGACAACGUGUAUUAUUACGGGUAGCAAAGGUGAGGGGCUGAGCAGCUUCUUGGAAAGUGAUCAGGAUCAAAUGAUUGUAAAUAAUAGAGUAUUCUGUUUAGAAGAUGAUGUAAAGUCAUGUGCUUUUCCUGGGGAGAUAACCGUGUUGAGAUCACUCAGCCGCAAGAGUUACCAUGGUCACUGUAGACUGCUACUGGAGAGACGCGGAACAACAAUUCACAGGCAAUUAAAUGAUGCGUUUUGUGAUGACGGAUAUGGUCGCGAACUUUUGAGCAGUGACUUGUUUGUUAAUAACUGGUCGAACGAACGCUUGGCUGAGGGCAUGGUGCAGCAUGAGCGUGCGGGACCGUCAAUUCCGAGUACAAUGCAUGGACACUUUCACAAUGACAAAGUACAUGCAUUACAUUACUACUGCCCCAACAUUCUGUCAAAAUGGGCCGCAAGACCUCGCCACUGGCCGCCACCGGAAGUCGCUCAGAGGGUCGUAUCACUUGGGGCGGUUCUUACGCCUGUUGGAUUUAAAGGGAGUGAAUAUCAACAUGUUGAAUGGAGAGUGUGUUUUAACGCCGGUGAGAUCGAACUAAUUAGCAAUCUUAAUGACACUCAAACCAAAUUGUAUGUUUUAUUGAAAAUGAUAAAGAACGAUGUAUUACAUCCACGUAAGAAAGAAGUUACAUCGUACACAUUGAAAAACAUCGUUUUAUGGAUGGCGGAAAAUAAUCCUCAAGCCUCGUUUCAUAAAAAAAGUAUUUUGCAGUGGUUGCAUGAAGCAUUGGAUGCGCUUAGAGUUGCAUUGAUCACCUUAGAGCUACCAUACUAUAUGAUUCCAGAAAGGAAUUUGAUGGCAACCUCUGGACUGGAUGAGGAACAGCAACGCACAUGGAUAUCAACGAUUACAGAUAUGCUCAAUGAAGGUCCUAGGGUGAUACUCAGACUUCCAAAGAUACGACAAUGCAUCGUAGCUCACCCUGAACCAUUACGAUGGUACAGCGGGAGGAGAAUUGAGGUGGAAAUGCUAACGCUCAUGCUCAUGAACAGAGUGGUAAUCUGCAGGGAUGAGAACGGGGAGUAUGACAUUACCGAUGCGAUUUUGCAGGCAUUAAUAAGACGAGGAAACGAGGUUAUAACGGAUGUUUGCGAGAGGAUGAUAAUGGAAGGGAGUCGAGUGUUCAAUGCGGAUGCUACUAUUUUUGAUCGAAUUAUGAUGUAAAACGUUAACGAUGAUCAAUAGAUCAGAAACGAGGCGCGGACAACACGUAUUUAUAACUUUUGAGUACAUAUUACCUUAAACGAAUCACCGAUCAUUGUUGCCGGGAACGUGAAAAUUAUACAACUUAUCGUAUUAGUGAUUUGUUUGUUCAGUAAUUGAUGUUUGACUUGCAGACGUUUGUUUCACUUUUUAAAAAUGUGCACAAUUUUACAAAAGAUUUGUUUACAGUAGGCUGUAAACUUUACCGAAACAAUAAAUUUAAAUACAUUUUAUUAAAAAAUGUCAAUCGGCUUCGCAUAGAUAACAUUAGUUUGCAAAAUAACGUUAUGUAAAGUAAUUUUGCUAUAUUGUAUAUAUCUUAACAAAAUAUGUACGUAUCGCGCUUGGAAACCAGCGGUAUAAUUUCAAGUUAUGCAUAUAUUACCCUUUUGAUCUUAUAGUAGUAACUCAUUUUGUCGACGUAUGUAGAAAUGUGACUUGUGUUUAUUUGCGUAAGCAUGUUAGGAAAUAAAGUGUGUUUGUGUCAUUUGUAUCUCAUCUUCUUAUCUAAAUGUUCACUUGGUUUAUGGUUGGUAUUGUUAACGCAUUUGCACUGAAUGAAUAUAUGUGUUACUGAUACCACUGGUAUUGUUGUAAUUGCUGUAAAUGUAUCGAUAAUAUUCUUGUUUUUCUUGUUGAAUAGAAACAUUGUUGUGAUUUGUAAUAUUGAUCAAAAAGUAUUGAACACAUUGUUGCACUUAUCGAUAAAAUUGGUGCAUAUCUGUGUUCAUUCGUAUUUUUAAAAUGUCUUCAAUAACGCUAUUGUUGCAUUCACAAAUAAGAAAUAAAGUGCAGUUGUUUUAUGCGAAUUGAUUAAACUACUUUUCAUGUGAAUGUAUAAUUGCUCGUGUUUUUUACUGGACAAGUGAAUGUAAACUUUUAUUGAACACGGAUAAUCUGUUUUCCUCAAAACACAUAGUUUGUAAUGAAUCUAAAGAUACAAAGAUAUAUGCUAUAGUAUUGAUUUUUUUUAUGCGGAAAUAUUUUCAUACAUGAAAAACGUAAUGGUUGAUUUUCGUUAAUCUAGUUAUACCGUUGAUCUCGUUUUGCUCUAAGCGUGUGUAUGCUUUUGUUAUGUUUCAUUUUGUUAGGUUUUUAGCGAGGCUGUUUUCGGAGAAAACCCGAGCUAUUGUCAUAGCCAGCUCGUCGUCCGCCGUCCGCCGUAGGCGUCGUGCUUAAACUUUUACACUGGCCAUAGCUUUUUAAAUAUUGAAGAUAGCACCUUGAUAUUUUGUAUUCAUGUGUAUCUCAUGGAGCUGCACAAUGUGAGUGCUAAAAUUUCAAGGUGAACAUCAGCCUUCGAGGUAUAGGAUCGAAAAAACAAAGUCAAGGGAAGUAAUAAGCUUUAAAUGGACAUAGUUAUCUGACCUGCCCACGUAUAUAAUUUUGAAAAAUUACUCAAAGCGGCGCAGUAGGCGGCAUUGUGUUUCUGACAAACAAAUUGUGGUAACAAAUACAGAUUUAAGGGAAGUAAUAAGCUUUAAAAAGGGAGAAAAUUAUUCAAUAUUGAACAUAGCCACUUUAUAUAUUUGGCAUGCAUGCGUAUCUCAUGGAGCUGCACAUUUUGAGUGGUGAAUCUACAGUCACGGUAGUGGCUUUUAAUUAUUUGCUACUAAAAAUAGAGAUUUUUUACAGACAAUUAUUUUCAAGGCAAGUAAUUUAUAUAAUUAUAAAUCUCAUAUUAUAUAUUUCCUUACCAAUAUUUGAAGUUCCUUUCACAGUUACUGUACAGAUUUAUUAUUUUGAUUAUUUAUAACCCAAAUGAUUGAUUUGUCAAAGUUUUUUUUUAAUGAUAUAAUUAUAAUUUGGUUAUAGAUCCACGGUCGUAGAUGUUAGUAGUUUUUGUAUUGUUCCGUAUCGGCAGGAUCGUGAGUGGCACUGUGGGAGAAAAAGGACAUGUUCUACCAUGGCAUUUGAAAUGGCAUUUAAUAAACACUGAUAUGUUCUGGUCACACUUAUAUGAUUGUUAAGCAUAAGCACAUUUUUGAAUUAGAGUUCAUUAGAGGUAUCCAGUUAACAUCACUCUUACGCCAUUGGCUACACGUAUGUUAUGGCCAUUAAACUGUUGAAUUUAUACUAAAUACCCAUUUUGUGUUGUAAUCAUAUGAAUGGAAUGUAAUUUUCUGCAUUGAAUGUAUGAGCGAUGGAGGACAUAUCAUGUUAAAAUGCAUGAUGCCUGAUUACAUUCCGAGGGUGUAACUUUGUAUGUUUAUUAGCAAUACAAUUAAACUCAGUUGCAAAACCAC
Molecule: RNA transcript, 3972 nt
Organism: Dreissena polymorpha
Lineage: Eukaryota; Metazoa; Mollusca; Bivalvia; Myida; Dreissenidae
Exons: 5
Source: RefSeq, a predicted model, not a curated record